Molecule: ribosomal RNA, 253 nt
Filed under: uncultured bacterium
Lineage: Bacteria
Description: partial 16S ribosomal RNA
Rfam family: Bacterial small subunit ribosomal RNA
Source: RNAcentral
UACGAAGGGUGCAAGCGUUAAUCGGAAUUACUGGGCGUAAAGGGUGCGUAGGCGGCUUUUUAAGUCGGAUGUGAAAUCCCCGGGCUCAACCUGGGAAUGGCAUACGAUACUGGGGAGCUAGAGUUUGGGAGAGGGUGGUGGAAUUCCCGGUGUAGCGGUGAAAUGCGUAGAGAUCGGGAGGAACAUCAGUGGCGAAGGCGGCCACCUGGCCUAAAACUGACGCUGAGGCACGAAAGCGUGGGGAGCAAACAGG